Mycena latifolia is the source of this 94-nucleotide non-coding RNA. NCBI's taxonomy places the organism in Eukaryota, Fungi, Basidiomycota, Agaricomycetes, Agaricales, Mycenaceae. The record is from the annotation of a GenBank genome assembly.
GGCCUGGUAGCACAGCUGGAUAGUGCAUCUGUUACGUUUCAGACGGAAAAUUUCCUUACUACAGAAGGUCCCCGUUCAAUUCGGGGUCAGGUCU